This 1627-nucleotide long non-coding RNA is filed under the name Phasianus colchicus (ring-necked pheasant). RNAcentral's name for it is "lncRNA (ENSPCLG00000017668.1)". The record is from RNAcentral. Lineage: Eukaryota; Metazoa; Chordata; Aves; Galliformes; Phasianidae.
UGACGUCGAGUGGCCCAACAGGCAGAGCCAUCGCCAACCACCUGUGCGGGAACAACCUGCCCGCCUGCCGCAGGGCAGCACCGGAGCGGCCCCUGCCAGGCUGGACAGCCGCCGGGCUCAGCUACCCCCGCCUCGGCCCCCGCGGCCCACCGGCCUGGGCUCCGCAUCCCGGGGGAUGAGCGACGGGCCCAGCGGCCCCCGGCCCCAGCGGGCAUCGACGCCGCCCCCCCGUCCUCCUCCACCAUCCUUCAAGGGGCAGAAGGAACCCGCCCGGGGCGGAGGCUUGCGGUCAUCGGCCGGCACCCAAACAAUUGCUCCCUGGCAGAUGAGCGACAGGCCCAGCAGCCCCCGGUCCCAGCGGGCAUCGACGCCGCCCCCCCGUCCCCCACCACCAUCCUUCAGGGGACGGGAGCGGUCCCCUCAGCGUGUCGGCUCGGGGGCAUCGUCCGGCACCCGGACAGCCGCUGCCUCGGGGAAGCCCAGCAGCCCCCAGCCCCCCCCAGCACCACCUCUGCCCUCCCCCUCCUCUCCGCCAUCCUUUAGGAGGUGGGAGCAACCCCCCCAAGGUGGCAGCUCGGGGGCAUCAUCAGACACCUGGAAAACCACAGCCACUGGGAAACAGUCCAGGUCCAGCAGCCCCCAGCCCCCCCCGGCCCCACCUCUGCCCUCCCCUCCACCAUCGGUCAGGGAAUGGAAGCGAUCCCCGCAGAGUGCAGACUCGGGGAAACUGUCCGACAGGACAGCCGCUGCCUGGGGGAAGCGCCACCGGCCUGGCAGCCCCCUGCCUCGCCAGGCACGGUCACCACCUUCCCGUUCCCCUCCACGAUCCUUCAGGGGACGGGAGUGGUCCCCUCAGGCACCCCGACUGCCCUCCCCCUCUUCUCCAGCAUCCCUUAGGAGGCGGGAGCAGCCCCCCCAGGGUGGCAGCUCGGGGGCAUCAUCAGGCACCUGGAAAACCGCUGCCACGGGGAAACAGACCAGGCGCAGCAGCCCCCAGCCCCUCCCAGCACCACCUUUGCCUUCCCCCUCCCCUCCACCAUCUGUCAGAGGGUGGCAGAAAUCCCCACAGAGUGCAGACUCGGGGAAACUGUCCGACAGGACAGCCGCUGCCUGGGGGAAGCGCCACCGGCCCGGCAGCCCCCCGCCUCGCCAGGCACGGUCACCACCUUCCCGUUCCCCUCCACGAUCUUUCAGGGGACUUGAGUUGCCUUCUCAGGCACCCCCACUGCCCUCCUCCUCCCCUGCACCAUCUUUCAAAGGACGGCCGUGGCUGCCCCAGCAUGACAGGCCUGGCCGCCCCAGGUCCCCCCAGGCCUCCCCGCUGCCCUCCCCCUCCUCCCCACCAUCUUUUAGGAGGUGGGAGCAGCACCCCCAGGGUCUUGGCCUGGGGCAGUUAUCCAGCAGACCUGCAACUGCCGCCUGGAGGAAGCAUGAGCGGUCCAGCAGCCCACAGCCUCCCCGGGUACCAUCCUCCCCGUCCCCUCAGCCAUCUUUCAGGCGGUGGGAGUGGCUCCCCAGGAAUGUCAACUCAGGGGCUUCCUCAGAAAACUGGAAUUCCACUGCCAGGGGGAAACAGACCUGGUCCAGCAGCCCCCAGCAGCCCCAAGCACAGCAUCUGCCCUACCGC